RNAcentral lists this long non-coding RNA (210 nucleotides) under Elaeis guineensis (African oil palm). RNAcentral describes it as "long non-coding RNA (EGUI_LNC025079)". The record is from RNAcentral. Lineage: Eukaryota; Viridiplantae; Streptophyta; Magnoliopsida; Arecales; Arecaceae.
AUGUGAGACUCGAGAGGAUGAAAAGUGAUAUCGCAAGGUGAGAUUCCUAUUACCGCAGGAUGAUAUCUCGAGUAGGUCUCAAGUCAGAAGGAGCACAGCAUACAACGAAGAUGAGAUCGAGCAGCCUGGCUCGACUCCCAUGUUUGUCCAUCCAUGAUCAGUAGGUGAUUGUCCUAGGAUAUGUGGGCGAGAAGAUUCAGAAGCUCUCGG